ACAAGCAGCGGAGCAUGUGGUUUAAUUCGAAGCAACGCGAAGAACCUUACCAAGGCUUGACAUCCCUUGACCGCUAUGGAAACAUAGCUUCCCUUCGGGCAAGGAGACAGGUGGUGCAUGGUUGUCGUCAGCUCGUGUCGUGAGAUGUUGGGUUAAGUCCCGCAACGAGCGCAACCCUUGUCAUUAGUUGCCAGCACGUAAAGGUGGGAACUCUAAUGAGACUGCCGGGGAUAACUCGGAGGAAGGUGGGGACGACGUCAAAUCAUCAUGCCCCUUAUGUCUUGGGCUACACACGUGCUACAAUGGCCGGUACAAAGGGCUGCGGAACCGUAAGGUGAAGCGAAUCCCAUAAAGCCGGUCUCAGUUCGGAUCGUGGGCUGCAACCCGCCCACGUGAGGCCGGAGUUGCUAGUAAUCGCGAAUCAGCAUGUCGCGGUGAAUGCGUUCCCGGGUCUU
This 455-nucleotide ribosomal RNA is filed under the name uncultured Lachnospiraceae bacterium. RNAcentral describes it as "bacterial SSU rRNA". It matches the Rfam family "Bacterial small subunit ribosomal RNA", at positions 925 to 1382 of the family's 1533-position model. Lineage: Bacteria; Bacillati; Bacillota; Clostridia; Lachnospirales; Lachnospiraceae. The record is from RNAcentral.